RNAcentral lists this ribosomal RNA (497 nucleotides) under uncultured bacterium. Its description in RNAcentral is "partial 16S ribosomal RNA". It matches the Rfam family "Bacterial small subunit ribosomal RNA", at positions 28 to 507 of the family's 1533-position model. The record is from RNAcentral.
GAUGAACGCUGGCGGCGUGCCUAAUACAUGCCAGUCGAGCGAACAGACGAGGAGCUUGCUCCUCUGACGUUAUCGGCGGACGGGUGAGUAACACGUGGAUAACCUACCUAUAAGACUGGGAUAACUUCGGGAAACCGGAGCUAAGACCGGAUAACAUGUUGAACCGCAUGGUUCAACAGUGAAAGACGGUCUUGCUGUCACUUAUAGAUGGAUCCGCGCCGCAUUAGCUAGUUGGUAAGGUAACGGCUUACCAAGGCAACGAUGCGUAGCCGACCUGAGAGGGUGAUAGGCCACACUGGAACUGAGACACGGUCCAGACUCCUACGGGAGGCCGCAGUAGGGAAGUUUCCGCAAUGGGCGAAAGCCUGACGGAGCAACGCCGCGUGAGUGAAGAAGGUAUUCGGAUCGUAAAACUCUGUUAUUAGGGAGGAACAAAUGUGUAAGUAACUAUGCACGGCUUGACGGUACCUAAGUAGAAAGCCACGGCUAACUACGUG